This is a long non-coding RNA of Gopherus flavomarginatus (Mexican gopher tortoise), 183 nucleotides long. RefSeq lists it as uncharacterized. The record is from RefSeq and is a predicted model, not a curated record. Lineage: Eukaryota; Metazoa; Chordata; Testudines; Testudinidae. The transcript is spliced from 3 exons.
AAAAAACUAAACAAGGCUGUUAAAGAAAUAUUGCUAAUACAAGACUUCUACCGUUAUGGGAAGCAACAACAUGGACGAGAACUUUUUUCUUGACAUUCCAGAUGCCGCGCUAGAAGCUUUAAAUUUUGAACAAGAUGGAAGUCAAAACCACCCAAUAGGUUUUCCUGAAAUUACAGAGGAAGG